This is a non-coding RNA of Bubalus bubalis (water buffalo), 2279 nucleotides long. Lineage: Eukaryota; Metazoa; Chordata; Mammalia; Artiodactyla; Bovidae. The record is from the annotation of a RefSeq genome assembly.
UCCACGGCCCCCACCAUGGCCUCCACCACAGCCCCGAAAGUCUACCCUCUGGCAUCCAGCUGCGGGGACACGUCCAGCUCCACCGUGACCCUGGGCUGCCUGGUCUCCAGCUACAUGCCCGAGCCGGUGACCGUGACCUGGAACUCGGGUGCCCUGAAGAACGGCGUGCACACCUUCCCGGCCGUCCGGCAGUCCUCCGGGCUCUACUCUCUCAGCAGCAUGGUGACCAUGCCCACCAGCACUGCAGGAACCCAGACCUUCACCUGCAACGUAGCCCACCCGGCCAGCAGCACCAAGGUGGACACGGCUGUCACUGCAAGGCAUCCGGUCCCGAAGACACCAGAGACACCUAUCCAUCCUGUAAAACCCCCAACCCAGGAGCCCAGAGAUGAAAAGACACCCUGCCAGUGUCCCAAAUGCCCAGAACCUCUGGGAGGACUGUCUGUCUUCAUCUUCCCACCGAAACCCAAGGACACCCUCACAAUCUCUGGAACGCCCGAGGUCACGUGUGUGGUGGUGGACGUGGGCCAGGAUGACCCCGAAGUGCAGUUCUCCUGGUUCGUGGAUGACGUGGAGGUGCACACAGCCAGGAUGAAGCCAAGAGAGGAGCAGUUCAACAGCACCUACCGCGUGGUCAGCGCCCUGCCCAUCCAGCACCAGGACUGGCUGCGGGAAAAGGAGUUCAAGUGCAAGGUCAACAACAAAGGCCUCCCGGCCCCCAUCGUGAGGACCAUCUCCAGGACCAAAGGGCAGGCCCGGGAGCCACAGGUGUAUGUCCUGGCCCCACCCCGGGAAGAGCUCAGCAAAAGCACGCUCAGCCUCACCUGCCUAAUCACCGGCUUCUACCCAGAAGAGGUAGACGUGGAGUGGCAGAGAAAUGGGCAGCCUGAGUCAGAGGACAAGUACCACACGACCCCACCCCAGCUGGACGCUGACGGGUCCUACUUCCUGUACAGCAGGCUCAGGGUGAACAGGAGCAGCUGGCAGGAAGGAGACCACUACACGUGUGCAGUGAUGCAUGAAGCUUUACGGAAUCACUACAAAGAGAAGCCCAUCUCGAGGUCUCCGGACCUGCUGCUGGAGGAGGAGAUCUGUGUGGACGACCUGGAUGGGGAGCUGGACGGGCUCUGGAUGACUAUCUCCAUCUUCAUCACACUCUUCCUGCUCAGCGUCUGCUACAGCGCCACUGUGACCCUCUUCAAGGUGAAAUGGAUCUUCUCCUCGGCAGUGGAGCUGAAGAGGACGAUCGUCCCCGACUACAGAAACAUGAUCGGGCAGGGCGCCUAGAGCUCCUGUGGGUGGAGUCCAGGGUCACCCCAGACCCAACUGGACCACGUCCAUCAUCUUGUGCUGCUCAGCCUGUGCCAGGCCUGCUCCUUCGCGCUCUGACCUAGCCAACCUCUAACCUCUCACCCAGACUCACCCACAUCUGCACUCUGACCUUGUGGCCAUGGCAACCUGCCCCACCCCCCAAGACCCGAGUGGAAAACAGGUGGUGACCCCACUGAGCUGAUGGACGCUGAGGGCCUCUGGGAAGCCUGUAAGACACCAAUGGGCUGCAAGUCCCCGACCAGGAACACACAGGUCAGAGUUCAGUUCUGCCUGGAGGAGUAGGAGGCUGGGUCCAGGGCUGUCUGCACAGGGCACCCGCAUCUUGUCCAGGCCUGAUUCAGAUCACAGGUCCCUGGGGGAGGCCCCUGUGUCAGAUCCUUGGGAACAGCUGUCCUGCAGGGGCCCAGCCUCCCAGCAGGGAAGCUCAUGGGAGGACCACUAGCGGUUACUCAGGUCGACUCCACCGAGGACGCUGCUGUGAGCAGGGCCUGGGCCCACGGCUGCUGCAGGAGCCCUGGUGGGGGAAGGGGUGACAUCCAGCCAGAAGGACUGCCUGGAGAGGGGCCUGCUGACCGGUUCCCAGUGGACAGAGCUGGAGAGGCUCCCAGAAUACAGGACGUCAGGGCAGCCAGUCCAUCCGGUGGCCAACAGCCUGACAUGUCCUGCAGGAGCUCGGCCUGCACCAAGGGCAGGGGUGAGAGGCGAGACCAGAGACCCACAGAGGCCCAGCCCCGGCGCCGGGGCCCCGCCUCGCCUCCCGGUACAGACUCUCCUGUCGUUGCAAAAAUGUGCAUGGGCAUCUCUGGAUGGGAGGCGCUGCCCCUAGGACUGGAAGGAAGGACCACAGUCUUGGAGCUUGGGAAGCUUCUUUUGUAUAAUGUGGGGGCCUGAUCAUUCUCUUUGCUGUCUCUUUAUCUCUUUAAUGACAAUAAAGCAUCUUUACUUCA